UUUCCACGGUUCAUCCUUUUGUUUCUUCUUCUUUUACAAAACCGAACGCAUAUGAAAGAAUAGGGCAAGCGUACAACUUCAUUUCCUGACAUCUUCUUGCUUCGGUUUCUUCAAAGAAAUCAAAGACAACAACCUUAAGAACUUAGCCUUAUCUUUUAUUCCUUGUGAGAAGCUCUCUUAGUGAUAUACAUGCCUCUUUCUCCUUCGACCCUAGGGCUAUCUUACAAGGAUUUGAAGUGGUUUUCCAAAUAUUAAAGAUGCAAGUUGAUUCCUAGUGUGGUGGAGGUUAAACAAGGUUGUCGUACGUGGAUUUGAACCCCGAACCGUGAGCUCAGUGGGUUGCCCUUGGUCCCGGACCAAGUGGGAUUGAGGCAUUCUGUUGAAUAAUGAGUUUGGAAAAUAAGUUGUUGUGGAGCUAAGUGGAGGAACAUAUUGAGGAGGUAGCAGUGGCACAGGAGUGGCGGGCAAGAGGCCCGUAGGAUGAGUCAUGGGAGCAUUGUCAUUAUUUGUUCAUGAUAUAUAUAUUUUGCCUAAGUCUAGUUAGUUAUUAUGUCAUUCGAUGUUAUGUUUAAAGUUGUAAAUUCAAGUUCAUUUUUCAAGUUGUAAAUUCAAGUUAUGAAUAUGUACGUUGUUAUAUUUAAAUGAGAUGUUGUAAGUAUACCUGAAUAUUGAUGUAAUAUGAUGG
This is a long non-coding RNA of Gastrolobium bilobum, 685 nucleotides long. RefSeq lists it as uncharacterized. The record is from RefSeq and is a predicted model, not a curated record. Lineage: Eukaryota; Viridiplantae; Streptophyta; Magnoliopsida; Fabales; Fabaceae. The transcript is spliced from 3 exons.